CCUACGGGUGGCAGCAGUCGAGAAUCAUUCACAAUGGGGGAAACCCUGAUGGUGCGACGCCGCGUGGGGGAAUGAAGGUCUUCGGAUUGUAAACCCCUGUCAUGUGGGAGCAAAUUAAAAAGAUAGUACCACAAGAGGAAGAGACGGCUAACUCUGUGCCAGCAGCCGCGGUAAUACAGAGGUCUCAAGCGUUGUUCGGAAUCACUGGGCGUAAAGCGUGCGUAGGCUGUUUCGUAAGUCGGGUGUGAAAGGCGCGGGCUCAACCCGCGGACGGCACAUGAUACUGCGAGACUAGAGUGAUGGAGGGGGAACCGGAAUUCUCGGUGUAGCAGUGAAAUGCGUAGAUAUCGGGAGGAACACUCGUGGCGAAGGCGGGUUCCUGGACAUUAACUGACGCUGAGGCACGAAGGCCAGGGGAGCGAAAGGGAUUAGAUACCCGGGUAGUC
Molecule: ribosomal RNA, 446 nt
Filed under: uncultured bacterium
Lineage: Bacteria
Description: partial 16S ribosomal RNA
Rfam family: Bacterial small subunit ribosomal RNA
Source: RNAcentral